GGGCGGGGGGCAAUCCAGCAAGGAGUGGAGUUAUACACAAGAAUGUGGAAUAGGGAAAGGAGCCCUGAAUCUGAAUCCAUAGCAGCACAGUGUGAAUACCUGUGAAGUCACACACAAUGAAGGGCAGAAACAGCAGCGGUUAAAGCAUCAGCUAUAGGAUGGAUGCCACCAGGAACCAGACAGUGUGGCAAUCCAGUGGUGGCAAUGACCUUUGGAAUGCCCAUGGCAACCUCUACAAUGUCACACCUCACAACUCCACUGGCAAAAUGGGCCUUGUCUUCGAUCCGGUCACAGACAAGGCUGUCAAUUGCCUCACUGUGAUCAUCCUCUGCACAACCAUGGUGUCCCUGGGCUGCACUAUGGAGGUCGCAAAGAUCAAGGUCCACAUUCUUAAGCCCAAAGGGGUGGCCAUUGCUCUGGUGGCUCAGUUUGGUAUCAUGCCCCUUGCUGCCUUCAUGUUAGCCAAGAUCUUCCAGGUGGACCCUAUGGAAGCAGUAACCAUACUCAUCUGUGGCUGUUGUCCAGGAGGCAACCUCUCCAAUGUUUUCACUUUGGCUCUUGAGGGCGAUAUGAACCUUAGCAUUGUGAUGACCACCUGCUCAACUGUAAUGGCAUUGGGAAUUAUGCCACUUCUCCUCUUUUUGUACUGCAAGGGCAUUCCCAACAUACAGAAUAACAUGCCUUAUGCUGGCAUUGUCAUUGCCCUGAUAAUGACCUUAUUGCCUUGUCUAGUUGGUAUCGCCAUCAACCACUGGGCACCGCGCUACUCUCCAAUUGUUAAGAAGAUUGGAUUGAGCCUCUUAUUGAUUGCAGCAGUGGUCAUUGGUAUCAUAUCAAGUAUCACAGUUGGGGAUACACUUUGGGUGGUCGUGUCACCUAAGAUGACAGCCACGGCAUUCUUGAUGCCACUCAUUGGCUUCCUACUUGGGUAUAUCAUGUCUAGUGUCUUUAGGCUCACAGAGGGAUGCAAGAGGACCGUUGCAAUGGAGACCGGCUGUCAGAACAUUCAACUGUGCUCCACCAUCUUGAAAAUCACCUUUCCAAUGGAGGUCAUUGGAGCCCUGUUCCUGUUCCCAGUUCUCUACAUCUUUUUCCAGGGCAUUGAAUCUCUGCUCCUCAUCAUUAUUUACAGAUGUUACAAAAGGUUCAAGCCAGCAGUCAAGGGUACACAUCCUCUGAUUUGUGCUCUGUGAUCUCCACACACUCUUUUGUGCUGCUUAAGAAGGCCAACAUGGAGUAUGGGUGAGAAACCCAUAUACCUCACAGUGGAAGGUAAAGCAGAGGAGAUGAAGGCACCAUAGAUGUGGCUGGUCCCGUUUAAUCAGGAUGAGGUCAGAGCUGCAGAAGGAUCUUUGAUUGGGCUCCUCUCAAGGUUCCAACAAGUGUGAAGACCAGAUGACUGCUGUAAUGAUGUGUAUUGUCUGUGAUACCCAGCUUGUCCAGCUUGGUAGUUUUGUAAAGUACAAGAGACAAGGGUGUUCCAUUUCCAGUGUGUAACAUACCACUGUAGAUGCUUCACUUUUCAUUACCCAUGAACAAGCCUGGGGCAUACUGUAACUAUGAGGCAUUGGUCAGCCUUCUGCACAUGGAUGGUAAGAUUAAGGUGGGCAUUUGUCCCAAAAGGUGCAUCUGGACCUGAUAUUGAAUAUCUACCUCAAUGAGAUUUCUUCAAAGAGAUUUACUCAAGAUUUACUUCAUAACAUAAUCCAUUAGCAAACAUGCAACCCUCCAUUACUCAGUAUGCAAACUAUGUUCCUGUAAGACAUUUAUGUCUGAACUUGUUAUAAUAUGUUUUGAUAAUAAAAAUCAAAUUAAACCACUGCUUUAGCUGAAAAGCAAAUGUAUGUAGGCCUACUGUAAAAGCAAAAACGCAGUUCUUUGGCAUCUGUUAGGAAAUUGCUUUAGUGCAAUGCCGCAAUGUGUGUAGUUCAUUUAUUACUCUCACCCUCCCUCCCUGUUUAGCAGUCAGCAAUAUUGAACUUCUACAGUCAUCAACAUUUUCUUCCACAUGCAUUAAAGAAACUGAAAAGAU
RNA transcript from Conger conger (European conger), 2032 nucleotides. It is a transcript of the gene named hepatic sodium/bile acid cotransporter-like, with no coding region annotated. NCBI's taxonomy places the organism in Eukaryota, Metazoa, Chordata, Actinopteri, Anguilliformes, Congridae. The transcript has 6 exons. The record is from RefSeq and is a predicted model, not a curated record.